AAGCCUCUCUUUCUCUCUCUAACUUCUCUCUAGCCUCCCUAAACCCCUCCCAAGUCUAGGGAACCUCCCUAUCACGAGAAGAAAGCCCCGGAGCGCCCGACGGCUCCGAGAAGAAAAGCUUUCGGCUCGGAAACGCUGCUCCAGCGAAGUCCGGUUUUUAAUAAAAACCCAUUGUAAGUGAGUUACGCCUAUACUAUAUUUAAUAUAGCUUUUAUUUAAUUAUAGUAACAUUAUUAGGACCUUAAAAUAAUUAUUUGGGCUAUUAUUAUGAGUUAUAUUGAGUGUUAUUUAACGCUUAUAUAAUAGUAAUAAUAGCUAGACUAUUAAUUAGUCGUGAUUAACGUUAAAACUAAACUCUAGUGGUAUUAAUACAAGGUUUGGUCAAGGAAAAAUUGUUUUAAGAAGUAACGAAGAGCUGUCCGAGUGCCGAGUCACCACCUUACCAGGUGAGUGCAUAGUUACUUUCAGCUUACACAUAGAUAUGAAGUAUUUUAUAUAAAUUACGUGCUAUGUGUGCAUAUUAUCUGAAUACUUGCUAUCUAUGCUGGAUGAACAUUGUUAUACAUGUUUUCAAUGAUUUAAACUGUAUAUGUAUUUUAUAUCUACGAAAAUGUUGGGGUAAAACAUGGGUAGAUGUAAUAGGUGAUGUGUGAUAAAAUGAUGAGAGGCCUCGAUGUUGAUGUUGUUGAUUCUGUCAUCUAGCGGAGUAUGGAUGACGACCACGGACUCUUCUAGACAGUCCAGUGGAACACUAGCAGGCUCGCAACCUGUAGGUGUUUGUGAACGAUGUGUUCACCGGUGUACUCCAUCCCCCACAUGGUUGCCUUUAGGACAUUUAUUGCUGAGGAAUCCCCUUAGCAGUAGUGUCCGUCCCGAUGAUGAUCCUUAGGCUAGGUCCCUUAUGAUAGGUGUUUAGGGACGUAAAGUGAGGAUAACGGGAACGGGUAAUCGGGUUAUUGUUGAUCGAUGAAAUUAAUAAACUUAUUUAUUGUGGGUUGAAAACCCUAUGUGCUCACCAGGCUCCCAAGCCUGACCCACUCAGUUUUAUGUAUUACAGGUAGUGGCGCAUGAGCAUAGGUGUGAUGUUUUGGACGAGGGAUUACGGAUAUAGGCUUGUAGAUAUGAAAUAAUGUAGUAAGGCUUAUAUUGUAUUGUUUAUGCUUUUGAUCUGUACGAACAUGACAUCCCGAGUCUUUUAAUGAAAUACAUUUAUAUGGAAAUGCUUUUGAUAAAUCUUUAUCAUAUUUUUGUUUUGGGACAAAUUCCGCAACACUUUCAUUUAAAAUGUAACUCUGAUUUUUA
This 1302-nucleotide long non-coding RNA is filed under the name Lactuca sativa (garden lettuce). RNAcentral's name for it is "long non-coding RNA (LSAT_LNC003812)". The record is from RNAcentral. Lineage: Eukaryota; Viridiplantae; Streptophyta; Magnoliopsida; Asterales; Asteraceae.